AUGUGGAGCGCUUAGAAGUGAGAAUGCCGGUGUGAGUAGCGAAAGACGGGUGAGAAUCCCGUCCACCGAUUGACUAAGGUUUCCAGAGGAAGGCUCGUCCGCUCUGGGUUAGUCGGGUCCUAAGCUGAGGCCGACAGGCGUAGGCGAUGGAUAACAGGUUGAUAUUCCUGUACCACCUAUAAUCGUUUUAAUCGAUGGGGGGACGCAGUAGGAUAGGCGAAGCGUGCGAUUGGAUUGCACGUCUAAGCAGUAAGGCUGAGUAUUAGGCAAAUCCGGUACUCGUUAAGGCUGAGCUGUGAUGGGGAGAAGACAUUGUGUCUUCGAGUCGUUGAUUUCACACUGCCGAGAAAAGCCUCUAGAUAGAAAAUAGGUGCCCGUACCGCAAACCGACACAGGUAGUCAAGAUGAGAAUUCUAAGGUGAGCGAGCGAACUCUCGUUAAGGAACUCGGCAAAAUGACCCCGUAACUUCGGGAGAAGGGGUGCUCUUUAGGGUUAACGCCCAGAAGAGCCGCAGUGAAUAGGCCCAAGCGACUGUUUAUCAAAAACACAGGUCUCUGCUAAACCGUAAGGUGAUGUAUAGGGGCUGACGCCUGCCCGGUGCUGGAAGGUUAAGAGGAGUGGUUAGCUUCUGCGAAGCUACGAAUCGAAGCCCCAGUAAACGGCGGCCGUAACUAUAACGGUCCUAAGGUAGCGAAAUUCCUUGUCGGGUAAGUUCCGACCCGCACGAAAGGCGUAACGAUUUGGGCACUGUCUCAACGAGAGACUCGGUGAAAUCAUAGUACCUGUGAAGAUGCAGGUUACCCGCGACAGGACGGAAAGACCCCGUGGAGCUUUACUGUAGCCUGAUAUUGAAAUUCGGCACAGCUUGUACAGGAUAGGUAGGAGCCUUUGAAACGUGAGCGCUAGCUUACGUGGAGGCGCUGGUGGGAUACUACCCUAGCUGUGUUGGCUUUCUAACCCGCACCACUUAUCGUGGUGGGAGACAGUGUCAGGCGGGCAGUUUGACUGGGGCGGUCGCCUCCUAAAAGGUAACGGAGGCGCUCAAAGGUUCCCUCAGAAUGGUUGGAAAUCAUUCAUAGAGUGUAAAGGCAUAAGGGAGCUUGACUGCGAGACCUACAAGUCGAGCAGGGUCGAAAGACGGACUUAGUGAUCCGGUGGUUCCGCAUGGAAGGGCCAUCGCUCAACGGAUAAAAGCUACCCCGGGGAUAACAGGCUUAUCUCCCCCAAGAGUUCACAUCGACGGGGAGGUUUGGCACCUCGAUGUCGGCUCAUCGCAUCCUGGGGCUGUAGUCGGUCCCAAGGGUUGGGCUGUUCGCCCAUUAAAGCGGUACGCGAGCUGGGUUCAGAACGUCGUGAGACAGUUCGGUCCCUAUCCGUCGUGGGCGUAGGAAAUUUGAGAGGAGCUGUCCUUAGUACGAGAGGACCGGGAUGGACAUACCUCUGGUGUACCAGUUGUCGUGCCAACGGCAUAGCUGGGUAGCUAUGUGUGGACGGGAUAAGUGCUGAAAGCAUCUAAGCAUGAAGCCCCCCUCAAGAUGAGAUUUCCCAACUUCGGUUAUAAGAUCCCUCAAAGAUGAUGAGGUUAAUAGGUUCGAGGUGGAAGCAUGGUGACAUGUGGAGCUGACGAAUACUAA
Molecule: ribosomal RNA, 1635 nt
Filed under: Staphylococcus aureus
Lineage: Bacteria; Bacillati; Bacillota; Bacilli; Caryophanales; Staphylococcaceae
Description: partial 23S ribosomal RNA
Rfam family: Bacterial large subunit ribosomal RNA
Source: RNAcentral